This 730-nucleotide long non-coding RNA is filed under the name Mus musculus (house mouse). RNAcentral's name for it is "long non-coding RNA chr8:66387656-66388386". The record is from RNAcentral. Lineage: Eukaryota; Metazoa; Chordata; Mammalia; Rodentia; Muridae.
AUUCAUUUGUAGUGUUAUAGGUUAGAUGUAAAGUGAUAACACUAAAAACAGAAGACUAUGAGAAAAAUCCAUAGGUACAAAAACAUGGGAUUGGGUUUUUUAUCUUCGCUUUAAUAUAGGACUUAUCCUGGAAUAGAAAUGGGCAAAGCAGAUGAUUUUUGUACUUAUUUUACCUAAAACCACAAUUGCAGAGGCAGUAGGAGUGAGGCUUUGUGGAAAUGUUCAGUAUAAAUAUAGCCAAAUUUCUGCAGCCUGACAAAGAUAGUCAAGCUAAAGGUUCUUAAAGGUCAGCCUUUUGCAUCAGAAAAAUCUUCUGUGUUGUUGGCUCCAGUUUGCUCUUCAGUUGUCUGACUCAGCAGGGUAACUAAAGACCCAGAGGACAGGGACACAAGUCCUGGGCUUGUUGGAUGACUACCAGAUACUCUAGGGAAGGAGAGCUUCAUUCAUUUUACCAGUAAUCACCUACUGGUAAUUUCUAACCAUGUGUACAUUUCUUAGCAAUAAGAUCAUUUUGUUCUGUUUGUUCGUUUGUUCUGUUUGAUUUCAAAGCAUAUGAUUUUUAAAGAUAACUUAAUGUUAAUGUGGGCUUUCUAUCAUUGUAGAUAUGAGUGAGGCAAAUUUUAAAUAUUCAUAUGCUACUAAAUCAUUUCAACUGAACUCUGAGACCAAGUAAAUAUUUCCACUGCAUACUGUUCAUUUUGCUUUGAUUUUAUAAAAGCUGAAAUUAUUU